UACGGAAGGGGCAAGCGUUGUUCGGAAUCAUUGGGCGUAAAGGGCGCGUAGGUGGUUCUGUAUGUCUACCGUGAAAGCGUACGGCUCAACCGUAUUUUGUCGGUGGAAACUGCAGGACUUGAGGCUGGGAGGGGCUGGUGGAAUUCCCUGUGUAGCGGUGAAAUGCGUUGAUAUCCGCAGGAACUCCGGUGGCGAAGGCGGCGUGCUGGACCCCUUCUGACGCUGAGGCGCGAAAGCCAGGGGAGCGAACGGG
RNAcentral lists this ribosomal RNA (253 nucleotides) under uncultured bacterium. Its description in RNAcentral is "partial 16S ribosomal RNA". It matches the Rfam family "Bacterial small subunit ribosomal RNA", at positions 524 to 776 of the family's 1533-position model. The record is from RNAcentral.